Molecule: long non-coding RNA, 4936 nt
Organism: Carya illinoinensis
Lineage: Eukaryota; Viridiplantae; Streptophyta; Magnoliopsida; Fagales; Juglandaceae
Exons: 4
Source: RefSeq, a predicted model, not a curated record
ACUCAAGGUGGGGUAUACGGCCCUAUAUAGCAUUGUCCCAUACCGACUAUAUAUAUCUAUACGGCCCUGCUAACAGUGAAAGAAAGAAAACGGCUUUAUAUACAGUUUCACGUACUAUAUGACAUAUGUAUUGCCCAUCUGCAGCGAGGCACGGAGAAUUGGGGAUAACGCGUCAGUGCGUCUAAUUAUCGCCAAUAGUCCAAGCCAAGACUAUCAGAUCUGGCUCUCGUUCUCGCUUCAGAGAACGUGCGUCUCACGGUGCAAAGAAAUCUUUCCCUUCUCGACGCUGGUAGAAGGUCAACAAGCAGGGCUGCUCUGCUCGUCCGUGGAAGAAGUUAUGUGCUCUUGCAUUGGGUUCAAAAUGUCGACAAAUAAUCCAUGCUAAGCCCCCCAAUAUUCCAAGCCGAGACUGGGUCAGAUCUGGCUCUUGGGUCAGGUCUCGCAUCACAGAAGAUGUCAACGAGCACCUCACGGAAACUCUCCGUUCUCGAUGGUGGAAGACGGGUUAGCGGUACAUCUACACUUUUAUGAACCCAACGCUUUCUUAAUCUUUAUUGAGGAUUGAUAUGGUAUCAGCAUUUUUUUAGAAACAAUUCUGCACUUUUGCAUCCUAUUUUUCUCAUUCUUGAUCUUGAUGGUUGCAUUGGAUAUUUAGUACUUAUAGGUCCACCGUAGUGAAUACCAAAGCACCCGUAAUGGUUCUAAUAAGUCCUACAGAGGCACAAAACAAUAUUUGCUAUGUAAAGCCUCUGAGUUAUUAGGGAGAGAAUCACCCCAAUGAAUGCAGAAAAUCGAAAAAGAUAUAUCCAUCUGGAUUGAUUAUCUUCAUGACUAUACCCCUAUAAACAACAAAUAUAGGUAAAUCUAACAAUUCAAUUCGGCCAUUUAUAUGUACAUACUAAAAGAAUGAAUCUUUAUUACGAUCAUUGGCAUUUGUGAUGCAUUAUGGCCUCACCUGAUUGCACUGGUGAGUUCAGUAGUGACUGCUACCAUUGUUGCAAGAAAAAACUAGCAAAAUAUAAUCUAGCCCUUCCCACCUGCUGAACUUGGUAAACAUCUUGAGCAAAAAUGCGAGCUGUAUGCACUUUUGCGUCCUCUUUUAUUUUUGUCUUACUUUAUUCAAAUAAUUAUAUCCUCUUGCGUUGGGUUCAAAAGGUCGAUAACCAAUCCAUUCUGACCCCCCCAAUUUUCCAAGCCGAGACUAGGUCAGAUCUGCCUCUUAGGCCAGGUCUCGCAUCAGAGAAGAUGUCAACGAGCAUCUCACGGAAACUCUCCGUUCUCGACGGUGGAAGAAGGGUAAGGGGUACAUCUACACUUUUAUGAACCCAACGCUUUCUUUAUCAUUCUUGCAGACUGGUUGGUAUCAUCUUUUUUUUUUAGGAAAAAUUAUGCAAUUUUCCAUCCUAUUUUUCUCAUUCUUGAUGUUGAUGGUUGGAAUGGAUAUUUAGUACUUAUAGGUCCAUCGUAGUGAAUGCCAAAGAACCCAUAAUAGAUUUGAUAAGUCAUAUAGAGGCACACAACAAUGUAUGCUAGGUAAAUCGUCCGAGUUAUUAGGGAGAGAAUCACUCCAAUAAUUGUGGAAAAUCGAAAAAGAUAUAUCCAUCUGUAUUGAUUAUCUUCAUGAUUAUACCCCUAUAAACAACACAUAUAAGUAAAUCUAACAAUUCAAUUCGGCCAUUUAUAUGUACAUACUAAAAGAAUGAAUCUUUUUUACGAUCUUUGGUGUUUGUGAUGCUUUAUGGCCUCACCUGAUUGCUUUGGUGAGUUCAGAAGUGAUUGCUACCAUUGUUGGAAGAAAAAACUAGUUGAAUAUAAUAUAGCCCUUCCCACCUGCUGAACUUGGUAAACUUCUAGAGCAAAAAUGUGAGCUGUAUGCACUCUUGCUUGCUCUUUAUUUUUGUCUUACUUUAUUAAAACGAUUAUAUCCUCUUGUGUUGGGUUCAUAAGGUCGAUAAACAAUCCAUUCUAACCCCCCCCCCCCCAAUAUUCGAAGCUGAGACUGGGUCAAAUCUGGCUCUUGGGUCAAGUCUCUCAUCAAAGAAGAUGUCAACGAGCAUCUCAUGGAAACUCUCGGUUCUCGAUGGUGGAAGAAGGGUAAGGGGUACAUCUACACUUUUAUGAACCCAAUGCUUUCUUUAUCUUUCUUGCUGAUUGAUAUGUUUUCCACAAUUUUUUUAGAAAAAAUUCUACAAUUUUCCAUCCUAUUUUUCUCAUUCUUGAUGUUGAUGGUUGGAAUGGAUAUUUAGUACUUAUAGGUCCAUCGUAGUGAAUGUCAAAGAACGCAUAAUGGAUCUUAUAAGUCUUAAAGAGGCACACAACAAUGUAUGCUAGUUAAAACCUCUGAGUUAUUAGGGAGAGAAUCACUCCAAUUAAUACAGAAAAUCGAAAAAGAUAUAUCCAUCUAUAUUGAUUAUCUUCACGACUAUCCCCCUAUAAACAACACAUAUAGGUAAAUCUAACGAUUCAAUUCGGCCAUUUAUAUAUACAUACUAAAAGAAUGAAUCUUUUUUACGGUCUUUAGCGUUUGUGAUGCUUUAUGGCCUCACGUGAUUGCUCUAGUGAGUUCAGUAGUGAUUGUUACCAUUGUUGCAAGAAAAAACUAGUAAAAUAUAAUCUAGCCCUUCCCACCUGUUGAACUUGGUAAACUUCUUGAGCAAAAAUUCGAGUUGUAUGCACUCUUGCUUACUCUUUAUUUUUGUCUUACUUUAUUAAAACAAUUAUAUACUCUUGCGUUGGGUUCAAAAGGUCGAUAAAUAAUCCAUUCUAACCAAACCCCCCCCCCCCCCCUCAAAAAAUAUUCCAAGCCAAACCUGGGUCAGAUCUGGCUCUUGGGUCAGGUCUCGCAUCCAAGAAGAUGUCAACGAGCAUCUCACGGAAACUCUCCAUUCUCGACAGUGGGAGAAGGGUAAGGGGUACAUCUACACUUUUAUGAACCCAACGCUUUUUUUUAUCUUUCGUCUAGAUUGAUAUGGUAUCUGCGCUUUUUUUAGAAGAAAAUAUGCAAUGUUCCAACCUAUUUUUCUCAUUCUUCAUGUUGAUGGUUGGAAUGGAUAUUCUGUACUUAUAGGUCCAAAGUAGUGAAUGCCAAAGAACCCAUAAUGGAUCUGAUAAGUCAUACAGAGGUACACGAUAAUGUAUGCUAGGUAAAGCCUCUAAGUUAUUAGGAAGAGAGUCACUAUAAUUAUUGCAGAUAAUCAAAAAAAGAUAUAUCUAUCUGUAUUGAUUAUCUUCAAGACUGUACCCCAAUAAACAUCAUAUAUAGGUAAAUCUUACAAUUCAAUUCAACCAUUUAUAUAUACAUAAUAAAAGAAUGAAUCUUUUUUAUGAUCUUUGGCGUUUGUGAUGCUUUAUGGCCUCACGUGAUUGCUCUGGUUAUUCCAGUAGCGAUUGCUACCAUUGUUGCAAGAAAAAGCCAGUAAAAAAUAAUCUAGCCCUUCCCACCUGCUAAACUUGAUAAGCUUCUUGAGCAAAAAUGUGAGCUGUAAGCACUCUUGAUUACUCUUUAUUUCUCUUAUUUUAUUAAAACAAUUAUGCACUCUUGCAUUGGGUUCAAAAUGUUGACAAAUAAUCCAUGCUAACCCCCCCAAUAUUCCAAGCCGAGACUGGGUCAGAUCUGGCUCUUGGGUUAGGUUUCACAUCAUAGAAGAUGUCAACGAGCACCUCAUGGAAACUCUCCGUUCUCGACAAUGGAAGACAGGCCAGGUCUCGCAUCAAAGAAGAUGUCAAUGAGCAUCUCACGGAAACUCUCUGUUCUCGACGGUGGAAGAAGGAAUAUAUAGAAGAGAAAAGCGAAUGCCUACCAAACAUGUGGCUUUGUUGAUUGUAUCCGCAUCAUUGCCUGCAAGCUGGUCUGCACCAUCGAGGAUAGAAAGCAUUACAUCCAUGAAAUCUUGCUCACCUUUACCCUCACCUAAAGUCCUCUUACGCUUAUGAUCUUCCAGCCAUUCCCCAAUCAUACUGUCCAAUUCUUUGGCAGUUCUCUUCAUGGCCUUCUCAUGUCCACCAUAAUCCAACCAACCAAGGCAAGGAAUGGCAUCCGACACCAAGAACAACCCAAGCAAACGAAAAAACUCCCUCAAUGCUUUUUGAAAACUACGUGCCUUUUCUUUGUUAUGAUCCCCUAUACUAGUAGAAAAGUCGUACCGCUUUCCAGCAACCAUCCUAACAAUCAAGUUAAGAUUCAUGUCCCCAAUCCACUGCUUCAGAUCCACCAUAACCUGGCCUGAGUUGUCCCUUUGCUUGGUCCAAAGUUUGUAUAGCUGUGCUAAGGAGGUCUCAACUUCGGAGACUCGAACGUGAGAAAGAAGUUCAAGCCGACGAUUAGAGAGUAGCUCUACGGUGACUAUUUUACGCAAUUCACGCCAAUAGGAACCAUAGGCUGCGUGGCUGAACAUGGCAGAGUUAUAUCCCAAGUGCUUUGAAGCAACAAGUUUGGGUCGAGAGGAAACAGCGACAUCGUUGGUUGUGAAGCACUCCUUAGCCACCUCCCAAUUGCUCAACACCAAGGUUCGGUGCAACCCUAUCUGGAUAGUGAAAGCCGGACCGUAUUUGUCUGCCAUGGCUCCCAAAGUUUUGUGGGGAAGUUGGCUUCCUCCCAAUAGAGGCAGGUGACCCACUAUAGGCCAUGCACCUGGUGGACUUGGUGGGGUUUUGAGCAAGCCAUCUUUAGACCUCCUUAAAAGAUGAAAUAACAACAGAGCUAUGGCAAGUGCUCCAACUACAACAGAGUUUAGGCAAGGGGAAAGAAGGGAAAGAAGAUCCAUUAUUGGCGACAAUAUUUUGCAAGAGGCAGCUUGGAGGAUAUCUUUUGGUGAACUUAUAAUAAUGCUUUUAUUACCAUAUGUUCCAACUGUUCACGAGUAUUUUUGGGGGUGAUAUAAUGUAAAGUCAAAUUAUCAUAAUUUAAUACAUAAAGUGGCCUUCUUAUCUUCUUUAA